Long non-coding RNA from Aphis gossypii (cotton aphid), 689 nucleotides. RefSeq lists it as uncharacterized. The record is from RefSeq and is a predicted model, not a curated record. The transcript has 3 exons. NCBI's taxonomy places the organism in Eukaryota, Metazoa, Arthropoda, Insecta, Hemiptera, Aphididae.
GUCAAAUUAAAUUUUUAUAUUUUGGUAUAAUAGGUUAGACGGUUAUCAAAAUAAGUUAUAAAUUAAGCAAAAAUAAUUUCACUAUAUGCAUAUAAAUUAAAUAAAACAUUUUGGAAUAAGAAUUUACUGAAGAAAAUAUACUUAUGUUUGCAUAAAUUUAAAGAUUGUUCAGACCUGAAAUAUUACAAUAUACUUGCUCCGCCAAAUUUACUACCAAUACAGUAGUACAGUCGAUUUUUGAUGCCUCUGCAAAUUCUCAUUAUUCAUUUUGAAAUAUUUUCUGUGGCUUACUACUCGCAGUGUGGUUUGACGCAUAAAAAAAAGUACAGCCACGCACCUUCCUUGAAAAUAAUUUGGUUUCACUAAUGUUGCUAGCAGUGUAAAAAAAAUGUACUGAACUACUGACGAUUGGCAAUACAAAAAAAUGGUAUUGGAAUAAUAUACAUAUUAUUAUAAUGUAGAAAGGAUAAUCCAUUUAUUUGAUACCAUAAUAUAAUAUGUUGAUUUAUUUUAAAUUCAGGAUUUUCAACGAAUAUAUAGUAUAAAUGGCGAAAGAGGGUUUUCUUUCGCACCAUCGAAUUUGUCGUAUAUAUUAUAUACGGCGAAGAGAGCAUUUCAAGUGUUGAACGAAUAUCUUUAAAGACAUACAGACAGACGGCAGUUGUCGAGUUUAUUGUGUACGACUGAGC